CUUCUAUUAUUUGCAGUCAGUAACAAAGAUUCAUCCUUGUGUCUGUCAAGCAACAAGGAGAAUCUUUGUCACUUAGUGUAAUUAAUAGCUGUAC
This 94-nucleotide microRNA precursor is filed under the name Felis catus (domestic cat). Its description in RNAcentral is "mir-802 microRNA precursor family". It matches the Rfam family "mir-802 microRNA precursor family". The record is from Rfam by way of RNAcentral. RNAcentral also lists the same sequence under 4 other names. Lineage: Eukaryota; Metazoa; Chordata; Mammalia; Carnivora; Felidae.